Molecule: unclassified non-coding RNA, 254 nt
Filed under: Cladorrhinum flexuosum
Lineage: Eukaryota; Fungi; Ascomycota; Sordariomycetes; Sordariales; Podosporaceae
Description: partial internal transcribed spacer region
Rfam family: Eukaryotic small subunit ribosomal RNA (bases 1-46)
Source: RNAcentral
AAGUCGUAACAAGGUCUCCGUUGGUGAACCAGCGGAGGGAUCAUUACAGAGUUGCAAAACUCCCUAAACCAUUGUGAACCUUACCACUAAACAGUUGCUUCGGCGGGUGGCGCGAGGGCCUCCUCUUCACGGGGGGGGCCGGACCGCCCUAGACAGCCCGCCGGAGGUACUCAAACUCUUUGUUUUAAUUAAGGCCUCUCUGAGUAUUGUACUUAAAUAAGUCAAAACUUUCAACAACGGAUCUCUUGGUUCUG